RNAcentral lists this ribosomal RNA (530 nucleotides) under Eimeria bovis. RNAcentral describes it as "SSU rRNA". It matches the Rfam family "Eukaryotic small subunit ribosomal RNA", at positions 343 to 875 of the family's 1831-position model. The record is from RNAcentral. Lineage: Eukaryota; Apicomplexa; Conoidasida; Eucoccidiorida; Eimeriidae.
ACCGUGGCAGUGACGGGUAACGGGGGAAUUAGGGUUCGAUUCCGGAGAGGGAGCCUGAGAAACGGCUACCACAUCUAAGGAAGGCAGCAGGCGCGCAAAUUACCCAAUGAAAACAGUUUCGAGGUAGUGACGAGAAAUAACAAUACAGGGCAUUUUAUGCUCUGUAAUUGGAAUGAUGGGAAUGUAAAACCCUUCCAGAGUAACAAUUGGAGGGCAAGUCUGGUGCCAGCAGCCGCGGUAAUUCCAGCUCCAAUAGUGUAUAUUAGAGUUGUUGCAGUUAAAAAGCUCGUAGUUGGAUUUCUGCUGUGGUCAUCCGGUACCGCCCGUAUGGGUGCGCACCUGGUUUGGCUCCGGCUUUCUUCCUGUAGCCGUCCGCGCUUAAUUGCGUGUACUGUGUUACGGAACUUUUACUUUGAGAAAAAUAGAGUGUUUCAAGCAGGCUUGUCGCCCUGAAUACUUCAGCAUGGAAUAAUAGGAUAGGACCUUGGUUCUAUUUUGUUGGUUUCUAGGACCAAGGUAAUGAUUAAUAG